CCUACGGGAGGCAGCAGUGGGGAAUAUUGGGCAAUGGAGGAAACUCUGACCCAGCGACGCCGCGUGCGGGAUGAAGGCCUUCGGGUUGUAAACCGCUUUCAGCAGGGAAGAAGCGAAAGUGACGGUACCUACAGAAGAAGCACCGGCUAACUAUGUGCCAGCAGCCGCGGUAAUACAUAGGGUGCAAGCGUUGUCCGGAAUUAUUGGGCGUAAAGAGCUCGUAGGUGGUUCGUCACGUCGGAUGUGAAAAUCUGGGGCUCAACCCCAGACCUGCAUUCGAUACGGGCGAUCUAGAGUGUGGUAGGGGAGACUGGAAUUCCUGGUGUAGCGGUGGAAUGCGCAGAUAUCAGGAGGAACACCAAUGGCGAAGGCAGGUCUCUGGGCCAUUACUGACACUGAGGAGCGAAAGCGUGGGGAGCGAACAGGAUUAGAUACCCUGGUAGUCCACGCCGUAAACGGUGGGCACUAGUUGUGGGAACCUUCCACGGUUUCUGCGACGCAGCUAACGCAUUAAGUGCCCCGCCUGGGGAGUACGAUCGCAAGNUUAAAACUCAAAGGAAUUGACGGCUGAGACGNGCGAGACGACGACGAGGGAGAGG
Molecule: ribosomal RNA, 599 nt
Filed under: uncultured bacterium
Lineage: Bacteria
Description: bacterial SSU rRNA
Rfam family: Bacterial small subunit ribosomal RNA
Source: RNAcentral